RNAcentral lists this ribosomal RNA (253 nucleotides) under uncultured bacterium. RNAcentral's name for it is "partial 16S ribosomal RNA". It matches the Rfam family "Bacterial small subunit ribosomal RNA", at positions 524 to 776 of the family's 1533-position model. The record is from RNAcentral.
UACGAGGGGGGCAAGCGUUGUUCGGAAUUACUGGGCGUAAAGCGCGCGUAGGCGGCUUUGUAAGUUAGAGGUGAAAGCCCGGGGCUCAACUCCGGAACUGCCUUUAAGACUGCAUCGCUUGAAUCCGGGAGAGGUGAGUGGAAUUCCGAGUGUAGAGGUGAAAUUCGUAGAUAUUCGGAAGAACACCAGUGGCGAAGGCGGCUCACUGGACCGGUAUUGACGCUGAGGUGCGAAAGCGUGGGGAGCAAACAGG